CCGGGGCGGGCCCUGAACACAUGCAAGUCGAACGGUAACAGGAAGCAGCUUGCUGCUUCGCUGACGAGUGGCGGACGGGUGAGUAAUGUCUGGGAAACUGCCUGAUGGAGGGGGAUAACUACUGGAAACGGUAGCUAAUACCGCAUAACGUCGCAAGACCAAAGAGGGGGACCUUCGGGCCUCUUGCCAUCGGAUGUGCCCAGAUGGGAUUAGCUUGUAGGUGGGGUAACGGCUCACCUAGGCGACGAUCCCUAGCUGGUCUGAGAGGAUGACCAGCCACACUGGAACUGAGACACG
RNAcentral lists this ribosomal RNA (297 nucleotides) under Escherichia coli. RNAcentral's name for it is "partial 16S ribosomal RNA". It matches the Rfam family "Bacterial small subunit ribosomal RNA", at positions 50 to 328 of the family's 1533-position model. Lineage: Bacteria; Pseudomonadati; Pseudomonadota; Gammaproteobacteria; Enterobacterales; Enterobacteriaceae. The record is from RNAcentral.